UAUAAACACCGUUGUAACAUGGUAUGAUACCUAAAUAGAUUAUUAUUUUACUACUUGAUUCAGCAAGAAGAAUUAGAUGUUGAUGCCUUUUUAUUUUUUCACAAAAAGCCUAAUCGAUGAAGUUGAAUUAACCUCAUUGGGAACCGAAAUGGUGGUUUUAGUUAUAUGUGAGCAUUGCUGUCUACAAACGAAUUACAUAUUUUAUCAAGUUUAGUUCAACACAAUCAUUACUAGAUUACCCUAUGGUAGACCUCACUUACAUUAGACUGCAGCCAUGCUGGAGCACCGCAUCGAAGAAUUUUAGUCGAACGAAUCGACCUCAGUACUUUAUAUAUAUUUACGGCUCUGGUUCUGAAGAACUGCAGAAAUAAUUCGAAAACUAAAAUGAAAUCGGUGCUACCAGCCUAUUAGUGUGCGACCUCCCUGGGCCUGUUACAUUAUUAUGCAAACUACUUUAGAUAUAUUACACUGCAGAUUGAAAAGAAAACUGCCAUAUAAUUGAUUAGACUCAUAAUUUUCAUUAUAACAAAAGAAAAACUGUACAAUAUGAUUUAUUAAUAACAUUCUUUAUUAUGAUAAAACAAAACCGUGCAACAUGAGUAAUAGCAUCACAUCCUUUAAUGGCAUACUAUUCGUAUUAGCAUUUAGAAAUUCUACAAAUACAGCAUCUUUUUCUUUUUUCCUUUAGAACCUUCCAGCAAAUGUGGUCAAUGUGCAGAACCUGGCCCCUAUUUAACAUUCUCCUACAUCUGUAGAUCAGUGAAUUUUGCUUCCUUGAUUUGGAGUUAUUGGUAAACCUACACAAGUGUGCCUAGAAAAUUUCAUUUAAAAAUGUCUAUUUUAAAAAAAGUUACGAAGAAAUAAAAUCGGGUGGCACACAGGGCAUACCCAUACAUGUAUGCUCCCCCACCGACUUCGUUUCCUUGUAACUUUAAGAAAAAAAUAGAUAUUUUUAAUGAAAUUUUUCCAUCAUUCUCAUUCUCCGUACCAACCUAUCUUCGUGCACGAUGGAAAACGAUAGCCUGCCCCUCGCACCUCUUCACAGCUAUAUAUCACAGCAGGGGUUUUCAAACUGUGGUCCGCAAGGACAAGACAGGGGGUCCGAGGACAGCAAAUACUUUUUAUGGGCAAUUUGAUUUUAUAUAUGUUUUUUAAUCGAAAUCUUUUAAUUGACAAUAAACCUAUUUUGUUAAAUACUGUUAAAUAAAUGUAAAAAUAUGUUAUUUUAAGCAAAUAUUUAUGUAUAAAUUUCUUAAGCGUUUAUAAGGGGGUCCCUAAGGUAAAGCCUGAAAUAUAAAGGUGUCCGCAAGUCAAAAAGUUUGAAAACCCCUGACUUACAGUAUUGAAAAAAAAAUUUACUAUUGUGCUCAAGGGUAUUUCCAUUACAAUUACAAAAAAAUAGCGUUUUUUUUCGUGUCCGCCAAAUUAGCAAUAGUUCUAAAAUUUUGCACAAACUCAGAUCGCAAUGUAAUUUAUUGUUCAUCUCCGGUUAAUGCAAUUUCCUAUCCGGAUAGAACGUGAAGUGAGGCACUCUUUGCGGGGGCAUCGAAGUCUAGGCAUGUUAUUUCCUCCCCCAGUCACGUUUCCUUCUGUUCUUGCACAUCGACUUGCAAGACCACAUCGAUGGCAAGGGUCUGCUUCUUGUGACUCCGACCAGAAGAGAUUGGUGAAGAUGACAUUUCCGUAGAAAUCUCUCAACAGCAUUGUACAGGGCAAACUCAUUUCAGAGAAAUAUUCUCGGCUUGAUCUUUAGAAGGAUACUAAUGUGGUAUUCGUUGGUCACCUUGUCUUAAGGUCAGGUCAAAUAGGAUUUUCAUUGAUGACAACCUGAAAUAGAAAAUUCUGAAAAUGGAAAAACAAGCAGUCUGAUACAUUGCGCAUGCGUAUAUCUUGAUGCACGAAAGAAAGUUUCUUGAAAUUUUUUCUGAAUUGUUAAUUUAGAAUUUUGUGAAUUAGAAAAAAAAAUUUCAAAUGAGUUUACCCUGUACAAAUUAACAAUAGCAUCCCAAACAUGACCAUCCAAUCCUUUAAAAUAUUCUAAACCUUGACCAUCUUGGAUUUCUCUAAAAGUGUCCCAGCAGUGUUCAUCUAGUUUUUUAACGCUUUCCAUCCAACAUUCCUAACGUGAGCAACCUAUCUGUUUUAAAAUUCCCAACUGUGACCAUCCCAUCUUUUUAAAAACGUUCUAGCUGUGACCAUGGAGUCUUUUAAAAAUGUAUAUUCCAGUUAUGACUAUCAACUUUUAAAAAAAAUCUUCAAUCCUAAGUUGUAGUGUCUGAUAUUUUACUUGGAUUUUUCCAAUGAGAUAGACUUUGAGAAGGUACAAAAUAAUUGAUGAUUCCUUAAAAAAAAAUUGCGUAGUCACUCUUGGAGCAUGGCUUUUAAAAUGUUUCUGAUGGUUAAAAGUUAAAACGUUUUGAAAAACUGGACGAUCGCAGUUGAUGUUUUAAAAAUAUUGAAUGAAUAUAGUAAAAUGCCUUAAAUCUAGAUGGACACGGCUGAAAGGUUUUAAAAAAUGGGUGGUUACUGGUGAAAUGCUUUUAUAAAAGGACACCCAUUCGCCAGAAAAUUCAAAGCAUACAUUAGCAAGGAUCUAUGAAUUGCUAUUUAUAAUAUGUGACACUCCAAAUUCUUUCCUGUUAACGCAUACCUCUUUAAGUUAGUUUGGUCCAUAAAUUCCAAAGGAAAGGACAAAGCCAAUAACAAUAAAAGUAAAUAAAAUAGCAAUACAUAUAGGUGCAGGCAUGGCUGUGUGGUAAAUAAGCUUGCUUUCCAAUCACAUGGCUCUGGGUUCAGUUCCACUGCGUGAUAUCUUGGGCAAGUCUCUUCUACUAUAGCCUCAGACCGACCGAAGCCUUGUGAGUGGAAGCCCGUCUCUCUCUCUGUAUAUAUAUAUAUAUAUAUAUAUAUAUAUAUAUAUAUGUUGUCCAACCCACUAUCCGGCACCGUCCAAUUCUCUAACGGUUUUUUUCAAAUGAAUCAAGUCAUAACCUUAUCCAACUAUUGUUUUCAUAAUCGGUCAUAAUGUCUUACGUUUAAGAUGAUUCCCAUGCAUUCCCUGAAGAGAAGGUUACAAUUUUAAUAUCAAAGAUCCCUAUGGAUCACACAGGUUGUAAUCCUUUGAAACAUAUGUAGGAAUAAAGUAUGCAA
This is a long non-coding RNA of Octopus bimaculoides (California two-spot octopus), 3150 nucleotides long. The record is from RefSeq and is a predicted model, not a curated record. Lineage: Eukaryota; Metazoa; Mollusca; Cephalopoda; Octopoda; Octopodidae.